Molecule: transfer RNA, 64 nt
Filed under: Cavia porcellus (domestic guinea pig)
Lineage: Eukaryota; Metazoa; Chordata; Mammalia; Rodentia; Caviidae
Rfam family: tRNA
About the family: Transfer RNA (tRNA) molecules are approximately 80 nucleotides in length. Their secondary structure includes four short double-helical elements and three loops (D, anti-codon, and T loops).
Source: Rfam by way of RNAcentral
GGGGAUUUAGCUCAGCGGCAUAAGCGCCUGCCUUGCAAGCAGACCGUCGUGAGUUCAGUCCCCA